This 468-nucleotide ribosomal RNA is filed under the name uncultured bacterium. Its description in RNAcentral is "partial 16S ribosomal RNA". It matches the Rfam family "Bacterial small subunit ribosomal RNA", at positions 28 to 507 of the family's 1533-position model. The record is from RNAcentral.
GACGAACGCUGGCGGCGUGCUUAACACAUGCAAGUCGAACGGAAAGGCCCUGCGUGUGUGCGGUGCUCGAGUGGCGAACGGGUGAGUAACACGUGUGUAACCUGCCCUUCACUUUGGGAUAACUUCAGGAAACUGGGGCUACUACCGUAUAGGAUAUCCCCCUGCAGUGUGGGGGGUGGAAAGUUUCGGCGGUUGGGGAUGGACUCGCGGCUUAUCAGCUUGCUGGUGGGGUAGUGGCUUACCAAGGCUUUGACGGGUAGCCGGCCUGAGAGGGUGACCGGCCACAUUGGGACUGAGAUACGGCCCAGACUCCUACGGGAGGCAGAAGUGGGGAAUAUUGCACAAUGGGCGGAAGCCUGAUGCAGCAACGCCGCGUGCGGGAUGACGGCCUUCGGGUUGUAAACCGCUUUCGCCUGUGACGAAGCGUGAGUGACGGUAAUGGGUAAAGAAGCACCGGCUAACUACGUG